This 500-nucleotide ribosomal RNA is filed under the name uncultured bacterium. RNAcentral's name for it is "partial 16S ribosomal RNA". It matches the Rfam family "Bacterial small subunit ribosomal RNA", at positions 30 to 523 of the family's 1533-position model. The record is from RNAcentral.
AUUGAACGCUGGCGGAAUGCUUUACACAUGCAAGUCGAACGGCAGCACGGGGGCAACCCUGGUGGCGAGUGGCGAACGGGUGAGUAAUACAUCGGAACGUGCCCAGUCGUGGGGGAUAACGUAGCGAAAGUUACGCUAAUACCGCAUACGAUCUACGGAUGAAAGCGGGGGACCGUAAGGCCUCGCGCGAUUGGAGCGGCCGAUGUCAGAUUAGGUAGUUGGUGAGGUAAAGGCUCACCAAGCCGACGAUCUGUAGCUGGUCUGAGAGGACGACCAGCCACACUGGAACUGAGACACGGCCCAGACUCCUACGGGAGGCAGCAGUGGGGAAUUUUGGACAAUGGGCGCAAGCCUGAUCCAGCCAUUCCGCGUGCAGGACGAAGGCCUUCGGGUUGUAAACUGCUUUUGUACGGAACGAAAAGGCUCUGGUUAAUACCUGGGGCUCAUGACGGUACCGUAAGAAUAAGCACCGGCUAACUACGUGCCAGCAGCAGCCGCGG